This is a non-coding RNA of Arvicanthis niloticus (Nile rat), 161 nucleotides long. The record is from RefSeq and is a predicted model, not a curated record. Lineage: Eukaryota; Metazoa; Chordata; Mammalia; Rodentia; Muridae.
CUGAUGCAGGGGAAGUCCUGGAAUGCUAAAACCUGCUUCUGUAUCUUCUGUCCGGGUAUCAGAAGUUCCAUCCACCAUGAGGCAGUGUUGCAGGAAGCAAGCAGAAAAUGAUGGCUGGGAAAUAGGAUGAGUACAUGGCUGCCAAGAUCCAGAUGCUGGAG